AGGGCUCCACAGUCGUUCCGCCACCUCCCAGUCGGGUUGCGGCGGAGGCCGUUCCUGGCUUUGUAGCUCGCUCAAGAUGGCGGCGCAGCCACCCCGCGGGAUACGCCUCAGCGCGCUUUGCCCGAAGUUUUUACAUACAAAUUCUACUAGUCACACCUGGCCAUUCAGUGCAGUUGCUGAAUUAAUAGAUAAUGCUUAUGAUCCUGAUGUGAACGCUAAACAAAUAUGGAUUGACAAAACAGUGAUAAAUGACCAUAUAUGCUUGACAUUCACCGACAAUGGGAAUGGUAUGACUUCUGAUAAAUUACAUAAAAUGCUAAGCUUUGGCUUCAGUGACAAAGUCACCAUGAAUGGUCAUGUCCCAGUUGGAUUAUAUGGGAAUGGCUUCAAGUCGGGUUCUAUGCGUCUGGGUAAAGACGCAAUCGUUUUUACCAAAAAUGGAGAAAGCAUGAGCGUGGGCCUUUUGUCUCAGACCUACUUGGAAGUCAUAAAAGCGGAGCAUGUUGUUGUUCCAAUAGUGGCAUUCAACAAGCACCGACAGAUGAUUAAUUUAGCAGAAUCAAAAGCCAGCCUUGCUGCAAUUCUGGAACAUUCUCUGUUUUCCACGGAACAGAAGUUACUGGCAGAACUUGAUGCUAUUAUAGGCAAGAAGGGGACGAGGAUCAUCAUUUGGAAUCUUAGAAGGUAAAUGUGGACGUAGAUGUUGACCGUUUGGGAAGUAAAGUGCAUGUGCAGGGUGGUGGUGUUAUAUUCAUCUCUCGUUACACAUGGUAGAAAUACAUGGAAAGGUACUCAUUUUUUGGUGUAGUUACUGAUUUGUCUUUGCCCAGGAUAUGUUAUAGAGGCCAUUUCAGCUUCAAUUUGAGAUAUUUUCAUCUUGUUAAAAAAAAUUUUCCUUUUUUUUUUUUUUUUUUUGAGACAAAGUCUCACUCUUGUUCCCCAGGCUGGAGUGCGAUGGCGCAAUCUCAGCUGACUACAACCUCCGCCUCCUAGGUUUAAGCGAUUCUCCUGCUUCAGUCCCCCGAGUAGCUGGGAUUACAGGCAUCUGCCACCACGCCCGGCUAAUUUUUGUAUUUUAGUUGAGACAGGGUUUCACCAUGUUGGCCAGGCUGGUCUAGAACUCCUGACCUCAGGUGAUCCACCCGCCUUGGCCUCCCAAAGUGCUGGGAUUACAGGCGUGAGCCACUACACCCGGCCAAAAAAAAACAAUUUUUCUAUCCCUGCCAUUCAGUCUCCAUUAGCACUCUAUUCUCUCUCAUUUAUUCCACCCCCCUUCUCAAAAAAAAAAAAAAAAAGAAAAA
This 1301-nucleotide small RNA is filed under the name Pan troglodytes (chimpanzee). Its description in RNAcentral is "retained intron". Lineage: Eukaryota; Metazoa; Chordata; Mammalia; Primates; Hominidae. The record is from RNAcentral.